RNAcentral lists this ribosomal RNA (330 nucleotides) under uncultured eukaryote. RNAcentral describes it as "partial 18S ribosomal RNA". It matches the Rfam family "Eukaryotic small subunit ribosomal RNA", at positions 1470 to 1796 of the family's 1831-position model. The record is from RNAcentral.
CCCUUAGAUGUUCUGGGCCGCACGCGUGCUACACUGAUGCAUUCAACGAGUCUAAAACCUGGUCUGAUAGGGCUGGGUAAUCUUUUGAAAGUGCAUCGUGAUUGGGAUAGAUGAUUGCAAUUCUUCAUCUUCAACGAGGAAUGCCUAGUAAACGCGAGUCAUCAGCUUGCAUUGAUUACGUCCCUGCCCUUUGUACACACCGCCCGUCGCUCCUACCGAUUGAAUGAUCCGAUGAAUACCAUGGAUUGAGAGUACGAAUAGGUUCGCUUAUUUCUGCUGCUCGAGAAGUGGAGUAAAUCUUAUCAUUUAGAGGAAGGAGAAGUCGUAACA